This is a non-coding RNA of Pelobates cultripes (western spadefoot toad), 484 nucleotides long. Lineage: Eukaryota; Metazoa; Chordata; Amphibia; Anura; Pelobatidae. The record is from the annotation of a GenBank genome assembly.
AGCCCAUGUACUGUGACGACACUUUCAUUGCGGACAACUCCGAUUUGAUACACAGCAGCAACAACUUUGAGGGAGACAUAUGAGGACCACAUCUGACACCUUUAUUGAGUCCUUUUUUUCAGCGCACAGCAGGAAUUCAGCAGUUUAAAAUCCUCCAAUAGACACUUCACAGAGUCUUCAUUUUUUCCAGUUGCUACUAAGGCUACAAUCCAUCUGGAUAUUCAACUUGGUGAGAUCCACCUAUUUAUUAUAUAAAGUGCACUAUUCUCUGGACUAUUGUACAUCAGGACAUUUACUAUCUGUACACUUUUUAUUUUUAUAUUUUUUCUCUUUUAUAUUUUUUCAAUUUUUCAUUAUUUUUCAUAUUUCUUUCAUUUUUUCAUUUUUUAUUCAUUUUUUCUUUUUUCUUUUUUCUAUGUACAUAGAACACCACAGAUUCAACUAUUAUCCAUAUGGAUAGGUUUUCCUUAGAUUUGCAAACAGG